AGCAGUAGCCGCGGUAAUACAGAGGGUGCGAUCGUUAAUCGGAUUUACUGGGCGUAAAGCGUGCGUAGGCGGCUUUUUAAGUCGGAUGUGAAAUCCCUGAGCUUAACUUAGGAAUUGCAUUCGAUACUGGGAAGCUAGAGUAUGGGAGAGGAUGGUAGAAUUCCAGGUGUAGCGGUGAAAUGCGUAGAGAUCUGGAGGAAUACCGAUGGCGAAGGCAGCCAUCUGGCCUAAUACUGACGCUGAGGUACGAAAGCAUGGGGAGCAAACAGGAUUAGAUACCCCCGUAGUCCCUGUCUCUUAUAA
Molecule: ribosomal RNA, 303 nt
Filed under: uncultured bacterium
Lineage: Bacteria
Description: partial 16S ribosomal RNA
Rfam family: Bacterial small subunit ribosomal RNA
Source: RNAcentral